CCAGGAGCCAGCAGGGCUCUGUUAACAGGAUUUGAAACGGCAUCAAAAGGAGGCCCACGAGAAAGUCUGAGACAGCCAGAGAGAGGAGGAGGAGUGGGAGAUGGAGAUGAUGACCAGCAGGUUGAGAACCACAGUGAGCAGAGAGAUGGAGGACAGCACAACGUAAAUGAACAUUGCCUCAGCCCGAGGGCGAAUAUGCUUCUUGCAGGAGGUGUUGAGGAGUUGUGGAAAGCAGAGUUCAGCUUCCUCCAGGUUCUGCAUCAUCAGAGAGAGGAGGACAGGAGGAGCUGCUGAACACACAGCUUUCUCAGAAAUUUGCCCUGUUCCCCUGGAUUACAUGUCCCCGCCAGUCUGCACAGUUGUCUGGAGUUAUCCCCACCUCGCCGUGCCUGCCAGCUCCCACAACUUCUCCCUCCCCAACAGAACCCGGAUCUUGCCCUGAUCCCCCUCAGCUCGCAUAUUCCCUCUCUGUUGUCAAAUAAACCUCUUAAAUUCA
This is a long non-coding RNA of Micropterus dolomieu (smallmouth bass), 496 nucleotides long. RefSeq lists it as uncharacterized. The transcript has 3 exons. Lineage: Eukaryota; Metazoa; Chordata; Actinopteri; Centrarchiformes; Centrarchidae. The record is from RefSeq and is a predicted model, not a curated record.